GCCGAUGUAGCUCAGUUGGUAGUAGCAACGGUUUCGUAAACCGUAGGGCGGGGGUUCGAACCCCUUCAUCGGCU
Molecule: transfer RNA, 74 nt
Filed under: Nitrospirota bacterium
Lineage: Bacteria; Pseudomonadati; Nitrospirota
Description: Nitrospirae bacterium (sediment metagenome) tRNA-Thr
Rfam family: tRNA
About the family: Transfer RNA (tRNA) molecules are approximately 80 nucleotides in length.
Source: RNAcentral